RNAcentral lists this non-coding RNA (24 nucleotides) under Cricetulus griseus (Chinese hamster). The record is from RNAcentral. Lineage: Eukaryota; Metazoa; Chordata; Mammalia; Rodentia; Cricetidae.
AGGACUGGAGACUUGACAAACAUA